ACUCCGGUUCUGCAGUGGAUACGGGCAUGCUAGAGGUAGGUAGGGGAGACUGGAAUUCCUGGUGUAGCGGUGAAAUGCGCAGAUAUCAGGAGGAACACCGGUGGCGAAGGCGGGUCUCUGGGCCUUACCUGACGCUGAGGAGCGAAAGCAUGGGGAGCGAACAGGAUUAGAUACCCUGGUAGUCCAUGCCGUAAACGUUGGGCGCUAGGUGUGGGGACUUUCCACGGUUUCCGCGCCGUAGCUAACGCAUUAAGCGCCCCGCCUGGGGAGUACGGCCGCAAGGCUAAAACUCAAAGGAAUUGACGGGGGCCCGCACAAGCGGCGGAGCAUGUUGCUUAAUUCGACGCAACGCGAAGAACCUUACCAAGGUUUGACAUCACCCGUGGACUCGCAGAGAUGUGAGGUCAUUUAGUUGGCGGGUGACAGGUGGUGCAUGGCUGUCGUCAGCUCGUGUCGUGAGAUGUUGGGUUAAGUCCCGCAACGAGCGCAACCCUUGUUCCAUGUUGCCAGCACGUAAUGGUGGGGACUCAUGGGAGACUGCCGGGGUCAACUCGGAGGAAGGUGGGGAUGACGUCAAGUCAUCAUGCCCCUUAUGUCUUGGGCUGCAAACAUGCUACAAUGGCCGGUACAAUGGGCGUGCGAUACCGUAAGGUGGAGCGAAUCCCUAAAAGCCGGUCUCAGUUCGGAUUGGGGUCUGCAACUCGACCCCAUGAAGGUGGAGUCGCUAGUAAUCGCGGAUCAGCAACGCCGCGGUGAAUACGUUCCCGGGCCUUGUACACACCGCCCGUCACGUCAUGAAAGUCGGCAACACCCGAAACUUGCGGCCUAACCCCUUGUGGGAGGGAGUGAGUGAAGUGUGGGGCUGGCGAUGGACGAAGUCGGCUAGAUACCGAUAUUCGG
This 900-nucleotide ribosomal RNA is filed under the name Nocardiopsis sp. Its description in RNAcentral is "bacterial SSU rRNA". It matches the Rfam family "Bacterial small subunit ribosomal RNA", at positions 612 to 1509 of the family's 1533-position model. Lineage: Bacteria; Bacillati; Actinomycetota; Actinomycetes; Streptosporangiales; Nocardiopsidaceae. The record is from RNAcentral.